RNAcentral lists this ribosomal RNA (762 nucleotides) under uncultured bacterium. Its description in RNAcentral is "bacterial SSU rRNA". It matches the Rfam family "Bacterial small subunit ribosomal RNA", at positions 117 to 914 of the family's 1533-position model. The record is from RNAcentral.
GUGAGAAACGUGCCUUUCUCUACGGAAUAGCUUUUGGAAACGAAAGGUAAUACCGUAUACGCCCUCCGGGGGAAAGACUUAUCGGUGAAAGAUCGGUCCGCGUUACAUUAGCUAGUUGGUGAGGUAAAAGCUCACCAAAGCGACGAUCUAUAUCUGGUCUGAGAGGAUGAUCAACCACACUGGGACUGAGACACGGCCCAAACUCCUACGGGAGGCAGCAGUGGGGAAUAUUGCACAAUGGGCGCAAGCCUGAUGCAGCCAUGCCGCGUGAAUGAUGAAGGCCUUAGGGUUGUAAAAUUCUUUCGCUAGGGAUGAUAAUGACAGAACCUAGUAAAGAAGCCCCGGCUAACUACGUGCCAGCACCCGCGGUAAUACCAAGGGGGCUAGCGUUGUUCGGAAUUACUGGGCGUAUAGCGCACGUAGGCGGACUUUUAAGUCACAUGUGAAAUCCCGAGGCUCAACCUCGGAACUGCAUUUGAAACUGGGAGUCUAGAGAUCAAGAUAGGUUAGCGGAAUACCGAGUGUAUAGGCGAAAUUCCUAUAUAUUCCGUGGAACACCAGUGGAGAAGGCGGCUAACUGGACUGAUACUGACGCUGAGGUGCGAAAGUGUGGGGAGCAAACAGGAUUAGAUACCCUGGUAGUCCACACCGUAUACUAUGAGUGCUAGAUGUCUGCAGGCAUGCCUGUAUGUGACGCAGCUAACGCAUUAAGCACUCCGCCUGGGGAGUACGGCCGCAAAGUUAAAACUCAAAGAUAUUGAC